AUCCAGGUAGCAUAGUUACAAUCCCUUCCUCCCAAGAACUAGACGACACAUAGCUUGGAGGUCAACUGAGGUUUUAAUUACAGGCACAGUAUUUAUGAGAUUCCCCAUGCAAGGGGUUUCCCUACUGACAUUCCAGGGGUGGCACAGUAGGGGACUACAUGGGGAACUGAACAAUACAUGCAUUUUUCCCACCAUGCACUGCUGCA
RNAcentral lists this long non-coding RNA (206 nucleotides) under Pelobates cultripes (western spadefoot toad). The record is from RNAcentral. Lineage: Eukaryota; Metazoa; Chordata; Amphibia; Anura; Pelobatidae.